Molecule: ribosomal RNA, 462 nt
Filed under: uncultured bacterium
Lineage: Bacteria
Description: partial 16S ribosomal RNA
Rfam family: Bacterial small subunit ribosomal RNA
Source: RNAcentral
GACGAACGCUGGCGGCGUGCUUAACACAUGCAAGUCGAACGGAAAGGCCCUUCGGGGUACUCGAGUGGCGAACGGGUGAGUAACACGUGGGUGAUCUGCCCUGCACUUUGGGAUAAGCCUGGGAAACUGGGUCUAAUACCGAAUAGGACCACGCGCUUCAUGGUGUGUGGUGGAAAGCGUUUGCGGUGUGGGAUGGGCCCGCGGCCUAUCAGCUUGUUGGUGGGGUAAUGGCCUACCAAGGCGACGACGGGUAGCCGGCCUGAGAGGGGGACCGGCCACACUGGGACUGAGAUACGGCCCAGACUCCUACGGGAGGCAGCAGGGGGGAAUAUUGCACAAUGGGCGCAAGCCUGAUGCAGCGACGCCGCGUGAGGGAUGACGGCCUUCGGGUUGUAAACAUCUUUCAAUAGGGACGAAGCGCAAGUGACGGUACCUAUAGAAGAAGCCCCGGCCAACUACGUG